Falco peregrinus (peregrine falcon) is the source of this 486-nucleotide long non-coding RNA. RefSeq lists it as uncharacterized. The transcript has 2 exons. The record is from RefSeq and is a predicted model, not a curated record. NCBI's taxonomy places the organism in Eukaryota, Metazoa, Chordata, Aves, Falconiformes, Falconidae.
UCCAGGUAAAUUUGCAAAGGGCAGGUGUGAUGGGCUUUUUGUGAAAGGGUUGUGUUAAUCCAGUUUCACUGGGUGUCCACAGGAUGGCAAAACCCCACAUGUCUGACCCUGGGGAGGCUGAGAUGAAGCCCUCAGUCUGAAGCAGGAUGUGCUCUUCAACUAAAUGGCUGCAAAUCCUUUUGAGAGCCAAUGCUCACAAGCAUUAAGACAACACACGUGUAGCCAGGAGCAGGCUGGUGCAUCCCUCAGUUCAGCUUGAAAAAACAUCCCUUGCAGCCUGGCAAAGGAAAGGCACAGAGCCACGGAAAGAAGCAGCAGAGACACAGGCCAAGCAAUGCCUGCUUGCUGAAGAGUGAGAGCUUCACGAAUGAGGGCUGAAACUCACCACACAAAAGAGCAAGAAGAAGAAGGUGGUUUGUGGUGCCACAGGGUAUUUUCCAAAGUAUGGCACGUAUUGAUGACAAGCACACUUUUUGCCUUCAGAAA